AGAACGAACGCUGGCGGCAUGCCUAAUACAUGCAAGUCGAACGAACUCUUCGGAGUUAGUGGCGCACGGGUGCGUAACGCGUGGGAAUCUGCCCCUUGGUUCGGAAUAACAGUUGGAAACGACUGCUAAUACCGGAUGAUGACGAAAGUCCAAAGAUUUAUCGCCAAGGGAUGAGCCCGCGUAGGAUUAGCUAGUUGGUGAGGUAAGCUCACCAGGGCAACGAUCCUUAGCGUGUCUGAGAGGAUGAUCAGCCACACGUGGGACUGAGACGACGGCCCUAGACCUCCGUACGGGAGCAGCAGGUAGGGAAUUACGUGGACAAGUGGGCGAAAGCCGUAGAUCCGAGC
Molecule: ribosomal RNA, 347 nt
Filed under: uncultured soil bacterium
Lineage: Bacteria
Description: bacterial SSU rRNA
Rfam family: Bacterial small subunit ribosomal RNA
Source: RNAcentral